AAAAAAAAACUCUAUUUUUUUAAACCGAUCCCUUGGGCAGCCCCGCCUGGGAGAAGCGCGUCCGCUCAUCCGCCUGCAUCCGCUGCCAGCCCGGCGGAUUCUCUGUCCUUGUCACCGGCUUCAACCAAGGGAGGCAGGGGCAAGCCCAAAGUCGUUUCUCUUCGCCUCUCUCCCUUCUUCUUGCUCUAGGGAAUACUCAGAAGCCGAGGCUCUCAUGGAUUCCAUACUUGGUAUGAUUAGAGGGCCAAAGAAGAAGGAAGCAGAGAAGGAGGCGGUUCGGCGCCUCGAUUUUCGGAUCGAAACCUUCGAUUCCGUCUCUCACCUCUGCACUUUCGAUGCUGAUGGCCGCCUCUUUGUGAAGGGUAUCCUUACAGUGUGAACGAAGGCUACUUGACUCACACGCAAUUUCGGGCACUUCAGCACUUCUCCAGUGUUGCACUAUCCGUCUUAUCAACUCAGCAUACGUUUGCCCUGACAACCGAUGUGGGCUCUGGCUCAGUCGCUGCUAUUUGCUGCAGGCUGCACAAGCAACCGCCGUGAGUUAGAUUUUGAAGGUUGGGAUGAAACAUGCCAUAAAGCUUAUAUGUAGCAAUAUGGGUGCAAGAAUGGAUUCAAAGCCAAAAGGUUGGUGAAUACUUGCUGAUGUGCUCAUGUUCCUUAAG
RNAcentral lists this long non-coding RNA (662 nucleotides) under Phoenix dactylifera (date palm). RNAcentral describes it as "long non-coding RNA (PDAC_LNC001741)". Lineage: Eukaryota; Viridiplantae; Streptophyta; Magnoliopsida; Arecales; Arecaceae. The record is from RNAcentral.